RNAcentral lists this ribosomal RNA (236 nucleotides) under uncultured fungus. RNAcentral's name for it is "partial small subunit ribosomal RNA". It matches the Rfam family "Eukaryotic small subunit ribosomal RNA", at positions 1337 to 1591 of the family's 1831-position model. The record is from RNAcentral. Lineage: Eukaryota; Fungi.
AACCUUAACCUGCUGAAUAGCCAGGCUGGCUAACUGUUGCUGGUCGCCGGCUUCUUAGAGGGACUGUCAGCGUCUAGCUGACGGAAGUUUGAGGCAAUAACAGGUCUGUGAUGCCCUUAGAUGUUCUGGGCCGCACGCGCGCUACACUGACAGAGCCAGCGAGUUAUUUCACCUAGGCCGGAAGGUCCGGGUAAUCUUGUGAAACUCUGUCGUGCUGGGGAUAGAGCAUUGCAAUC